This 71-nucleotide transfer RNA is filed under the name Nanobdellota archaeon. Its description in RNAcentral is "tRNA-Phe". It matches the Rfam family "tRNA". Rfam says of the family: Transfer RNA (tRNA) molecules are approximately 80 nucleotides in length. The record is from RNAcentral. Lineage: Archaea; Nanobdellati; Nanobdellota.
GGGGGCAUAGCUCAGCGGGAGAGCAUUAGACUGAAGCUCUAUGUGCCCGGGUUCGACUCCCGGUGUCCCCA